AAAGUGUAGUAUCUGUUCUUAUCAGCUUAAUAUCUGAUAUGUUCCCUAUCUGGGAGCUUCGAUAUUAAACUGAUUUUUGAACUUGGGUGAAGUGUCAGGGCUUGCUCCACCUUUACCAUGGGUUGAC
Molecule: small nuclear RNA, 127 nt
Filed under: Monetaria annulus
Lineage: Eukaryota; Metazoa; Mollusca; Gastropoda; Littorinimorpha; Cypraeidae
Description: partial U2 snRNA
Rfam family: U2 spliceosomal RNA
About the family: U2 is a small nuclear RNA (snRNA) component of the spliceosome (involved in pre-mRNA splicing). Complementary binding between U2 snRNA (in an area lying towards the 5' end but 3' to hairpin I) and the branchpoint sequence (BPS) of the intron results the bulging out of an unpaired adenosine, on the BPS, which initiates a nucleophilic attack at the intronic 5' splice site, thus starting the first of two transesterification reactions that mediate splicing.
Source: RNAcentral